UAAAAAUUUAUUUAUUUUAGGUAGUAACAGAUUUCUUGAAACCUAAAGAAUUUGGCGGUAUUUUAAAUAAUUAGAGGAACCUGUUAUAUAAAUGAUAAUCCACAACAUAUCUUACCUUAAUUAAGUUUGUAUACCGUUGUUUUUAGAUUAUGUUUAUAAAUUAUGAUCAAAAUUAAUUAAUUUUUAUAAAUCAAAUCAAGGUGCAGCAUAUUUAGGUUUUAAUGGGUUACAAUAUAUUUAUAUACACGAAUAAAUUAUGAAAAUAUUUUGGAAGGUGGAUUUAAAAGUAAUUUAAAAUUAAAAUGUUUAAAUGAAUAAAAAUUUAAAAUAUGC
This 333-nucleotide ribosomal RNA is filed under the name Brachistosternus piacentinii. RNAcentral describes it as "partial 12S small subunit ribosomal RNA". Lineage: Eukaryota; Metazoa; Arthropoda; Arachnida; Scorpiones; Bothriuridae. The record is from RNAcentral.